RNAcentral lists this long non-coding RNA (2936 nucleotides) under Homo sapiens (human). RNAcentral describes it as "HSALNT0384317". The record is from RNAcentral. Lineage: Eukaryota; Metazoa; Chordata; Mammalia; Primates; Hominidae.
GUUGCUGCAAAAGACAUUAUUUUGUCACGCCUGUAAUCCUAGCACUUUGGGAGGCGGAGGUGGGCGGAUCACAAGGUCAGGAGAUCAAGACCAUCCUGGCUAACACGGUGAAACCCCGUCUCCACUAAAAGUACAAAAAAAUUAGCUGGGCAUGGUGGUGGGCGCCUGUAGUCCCAGCUACUUGGGAGGCUGAGGCAGAAGAAUGGCGUGAACCCGGGAGGCAGAGCUUGCAGUGAGUCGAGAUCAUGCCACUGCACUCCAGCCCGGGUGACAGAGCGAAACUCCAUCUCAAAAAAAAAAAAAAAAAAAAGACAUUAUUUUGUUCCUUUUUAUGGCUGAGUAGUAUUCCGUGGUGUAUAUAUACCACGUUUCUAAAAUCCACUUAUUGGUUGAUGGGCGUUUGGGUUGGCUCCAUAUUUUUGCAAUUGUGAAUUGUGCUGCUAUAAACAUACAUGUGUAUGUGUCUUUUUCACAUAAUGACUUCUUUUCCUUUGGGUAGAUACCCAUAUUUCAAUUUUUUAAAAAAGAGUUGGAGGAGGUGAGUAGAUUGAUAUCACAUCUGUGCUGAGGUCCCCUAGACUUGCAGGGGGAAGGAAAGGGGUUGAUAGGGAGACUCCUGAAGAGUAUGACAGGCGAUGGGGGCACCUUACUCAGUGGCUGCGUAGUGGCCAGGCCCCCAAAUCAGGCCUGCAGAAUAGAAAAGGGAAGGGAGAGCAUUGGGCUGGAAGAUGUUGGUGCAGCUUGGAUAUUCUUUCUGCAUUCUUACUGGACGUUUUGGCGUAAGUGGCAUUCCAGCUUCCUUUGAAUUUGGAUGAGGAAGAACAGGAAGGAAGGAAGGAGGGGAGGAGGGAUCAUCUGUCAAGUGAUUAGCAGAAAUAGCUUUUUGUACUUUACAGAAUCUCACUCAUUUUUAAAAUUUAAAUUUACUUAAAUGGUGAUGUAGAAUGAACCAUGUGCCAGGCACUGCUCUAAGCACAUUGCAUGAGCUGACUCCUUUAUUCUUCUGACAAGUAGCAAGGUAGCUACUUUUCUUACUUCCCCUUUUACACACAAAGGAAUUAAGGAACUGAGAGCUUGAUGAUUUUUUCACACAGCUGAUGAGAGGCAGAGCAGAGAUCCCAACCCAGGCCCCAGAGCCCACUCUCUUAAGGGCGGUGCUAUGCUGUUGUUCAUUCAUUCAUCCUGUAAAUGUCUAUUGAGUGUGGACUAUGUGCUAGGCAUUUUGCAAAGCACUGCAAAUUCAGGGAUAUCAGCGGCUGAUGACCCUAUUUCAGUAGUUGUGAUGUAUGAAGCAAUAAAAUAGGCCCACCUGAGUGCUAGUUGGGAGGUUCUAUGAUUAUUGCACUUUACAAAUGAAAGAGGGGUUACCCAGCCUGGAAUUGGGCAAGUCUGGGUGGGAAUUCAGGGCUAUUUAGCUCCAGCCUCCCAUCUCCAGAUGCUAAUUGUGUCAAUAUGGAUUUUCCAGGAUGGGGACCCGUAAGAGGCAGCCCUGCUUGGUCCCUGCCUGCCCCACUGUGGCCCUGCAGCUGUGGGCUCUGGGCUUUGGACCAUCUCCUUUUCUGAGCAGGCAGGCUUGGAUGUCCUCUCCAGCCACCUGGCAGAAGGGCUGUAACUGAAUCCUUCUGUGGCCUUGUGUUCCUGAGAGCACCAAACCAUGUGUUUGUUUAGCAGGGAGAGGCUCAGGUCUCAUUUGUGGGUGGUCAAGCCAACUGUAGGGACAGGAGCCGGCAGCUGAGGCUCUUAGGCAGGGACAAAACUAGUGGUGUGAGCUGGUUUCCAACACAGAAAGGUCCCGUCAGCUGUUUGAUCCCGUAGGACCUUGGGAGGUAUGAAAGGCACAGGGGCUGGGCCCUGUUUGGUCUCUGCCAGGGCCUCUCCCAGGGCAGGGUGCCUGCGGCCCACAGUUUCUCAAGGUCACAGCAAUGUUUAACAAGGAAAGAAAAUAAAUGUAAUUAUUCCAGAAUACAAAAAGAAACCUGCAGGCCCAGGUGCAGUGGCUCACGCCUGUAAUCCCAGCACUUUGGGAGGCUGAGGCAGGCAGAUCCCUUGAGGUCAGGAGUUCGAGACCAGCCUGGCCAACAUGGUGAAACCCCAUCUCUACUAAAAGUACAAAAAUUAGUUGGGUGUGGUGGUGGGUGCCUGUAAUCCCAGGUACUUGGGAGGCCGAGGCAGGAGAAUCGUUUGAACCCAGGAGGCGGAGGCGGCAGUGAGCUGAGAUCGUGCCAUUGCACUCCAGCCUAGGCGAAAGAGUGAGACUCCGUCUCAAAAAAAAAAAAAAAAAAAAAAAGGAAAAAAAAAGAAAAGAAAAAGAAACCUGCAGAGUUAAAAUGAACACAUGCUGAAUUAAAUGCCUACCAAGGGCAACUUCAUGCCAGGCUGUCAUCUGGACCUCAACUGUGAUGAGCUCAUGUAUAUGUAAAUCACGGAAAGUGGAUGCAUUUUAAUGUGUGUGAUGUGAUUGACAUGGGUAGAGCCCAGGACCUGUGAAGGCCUCACAACCAUCCUGCGAAGAGAGGUGCUCUAUAACCUUCCGGGGCUCCCUGGUCCCUUCUAGGUAAGGUCCCUCUCCACUUGGCAGGCGUUUGAAUUUUAUUCAGCCAGUGUUUUUAUUUUAUUUAUUUAUUUAUUAUUAUUAUUUUUGAGAUGGAGUCUCUGUCGCUCAGGCUGGAGUACAGUGGCAUGAUCUCGGCUCACUGCCACCUCCUCCUCUCAGGUUCAAGCAAUUCUCAUGCCUCAGCCUCCCGAGUAGCUGGGAUUACAGGUGCGCACCACCACGCCUGGCUAAUUUUUUGCAUUUUUAGUAGAGACAGGGUUUCACUAUGUUGUCCAGGCUUGUCUUGAACUCCUGGCCUCAAGUGAUCCACCUGCCUCGGCCUCCCAAAGUUCUGGGAUUAGAAGCGUGAGCCACCGCGCCCGGCUCCAACUUCAUUCUGUUG